This 199-nucleotide ribosomal RNA is filed under the name uncultured bacterium. RNAcentral describes it as "partial 16S ribosomal RNA". It matches the Rfam family "Bacterial small subunit ribosomal RNA", at positions 328 to 539 of the family's 1533-position model. The record is from RNAcentral.
ACGCUCGACACCUACGUGAGGCAGCAGGUGGGGAAUAUUGCACAAUGGGGGAAACCCUGAUGCAGCGACGCCGCGUGAGUGAAGAAGUAAUUCGUUAUGUAAAGCUCUAUCAGCAGGGAAGAAAGUGACGGUACCUGAGUAAGAAGCCCCGGCUAACUACGUGCCAACAGCCGCGGUAAUCUGAGCGGGCUGGCAAGGC